AUUCCAGCUCCAAUAGCGUAUAUUUAAGUUGUUGCAGAUAAAAAGCUCGUAGUUGGAUUUCGGUUAAGAGCGACCGGUCCGCCGUUUGGUGUGCACUGGUUGGUUUUAACUUCCUGUAGAGGACGUGCUCUGGGCUUAACGGUCUGGACUCGGAGUCUACGUGGUUACUUUGAAAAAAUUAGAGUGUUCAAAGCGGGCUUACGCUUGAAUAUUUCAGCAUGGAAUAACACUAUAGGACUCCUGUCCUAUUUCGUUGGUCUCGGGACGGGAGUAAUGAUUAAGAGGAACAGUUGGGGGCAUUCGUAUUUCAUUGUCAGAGGUGAAAUUCUUGGAUUUAUGAAAGACGAACUUCUGCGAAAGCAUUUGCCAAGGAUGUUUUCAUUA
RNAcentral lists this ribosomal RNA (384 nucleotides) under Micromonas sp. RNAcentral's name for it is "partial small subunit ribosomal RNA". It matches the Rfam family "Eukaryotic small subunit ribosomal RNA", at positions 582 to 975 of the family's 1831-position model. Lineage: Eukaryota; Viridiplantae; Chlorophyta; Mamiellophyceae; Mamiellales; Mamiellaceae. The record is from RNAcentral.